UAACGUAGGGUCCGAGCGUUGUCCGGAAUUACUGGGCGUAAAGAGCUCGUAGGUGGUUUGUCGCGUUGUUCGUGAAAACUCACAACUCAAUUGUGGGCGUGCGGGCGAUACGGGCAGACUUGAGUACUGCAGGGGAGACUGGAAUUCCUGGUGUAGCGGUGGAAUGCGCAGAUAUCAGGAGGAACACCGGUGGCGAAGGCGGGUCUCUGGGCAGUAACUGACGCUGAGGAGCGAAAGCGUGGGGGAGCGAACAGG
This 255-nucleotide ribosomal RNA is filed under the name uncultured bacterium. RNAcentral's name for it is "partial 16S ribosomal RNA". It matches the Rfam family "Bacterial small subunit ribosomal RNA", at positions 523 to 776 of the family's 1533-position model. The record is from RNAcentral.